UAACAGAUCAUUUUAAAUAAAUCUAAUCAAACCUACUUGUCAUGGCGGCUCCAGACAAAAGAUUAGCAAGUGUAGCCGAUUGUAAAUGAUCUGGACAUACAAUAUUAAAGUAAGAAGUGAAGACUUGUUGUUGAAUGACAAUUGUUCAGUGAUCUGCUGGCUCAGAUGUCUGAUUUCUGUGCUGGUUCAUGAGGGUGUGAGGAUCCUAGAGCUCAAGACGGAUGACAGACGUGUCCAUCCUAAAUGGGGUCAUCUGGCUGGGUCAAAGGUCUUCAGCUUUCUAGGGACUGUCUCUGAAAGCUGAUAUUAUGACCGACUAUGAUCACACGAUCGCGGCCACAGCACACACAGAGAGCAUAUCUGAUUACACCUCUGCAUGUCUGACAGUAUAACCAGUCAGUGGCGUUGCUCAGUCGUUGACCCUCUCAUCUCCCCUCUGUGCUGAUGAAAGUCAAAGGUUUGCUGUUGACAACUCAACUGUCAUUG
Sebastes umbrosus (honeycomb rockfish) is the source of this 486-nucleotide long non-coding RNA. RefSeq lists it as uncharacterized. The transcript is spliced from 3 exons. NCBI's taxonomy places the organism in Eukaryota, Metazoa, Chordata, Actinopteri, Perciformes, Sebastidae. The record is from RefSeq and is a predicted model, not a curated record.